RNAcentral lists this ribosomal RNA (247 nucleotides) under uncultured bacterium. RNAcentral's name for it is "partial 16S ribosomal RNA". It matches the Rfam family "Bacterial small subunit ribosomal RNA", at positions 15 to 259 of the family's 1533-position model. The record is from RNAcentral.
GAUCUGGCUCAGAUUGAACGCUGGCGGCAGGCCUAACACAUGCAAGUCGAACGGUAACAGAAAGCAGCUUGCUGCUUUGCUGACGAGUGGCGGACGGGUGAGUAAUGUCUGGGAAACUGCCCGAUGGAGGGGGAUAACUACUGGAAACGGUAGCUAAUACCGCAUAACGUCGCAAGACCAAAGAGGGGGACCUUCGGGCCUCUUGCCAUCGGAUGUGCCCAGAUGGGAUUAGCUAGUAGGUAGGGGG